GACGAACGCUGGCGGCGUGCUUAACACAUGCAAGUCGAACGGAAAGGCCUGCUUUCCCUUGUGGAUUGCGGGUACUCGCGUGGCGAACGGGUGAGUAACACGUGAGUGAUCUGCCCCCAACUUGGGUAUAAGCCUGGGAAACUGGGUCUAAUUCCCGAUAGGACUGCAGGGUGGUGCCUGUGGUGGAAAACGAUUUUCUAGUGGUUGGGGAUGAGCUCGCGGCCUAUCAGCUUGUUGGUGGGGUAAUGGCCUACCAAGGCGGCGACGGGUAGCCGGCCUGAGAGGGUGGACGGGCACAGUGGGACUGAGAUACGGCCCAGACUCCUACGGGAGGCAGCAGUGGGGAAUAAUGCACGAUGGGCGGAAGCCUGAUGCAGCGACGCCGCGUGGGGGAUGACGGCCUUCGGGUUGUAAACUCCUUUCGGCCGCGAGGAAGCCACCUGGUUGGAAGGGUGGUGACGGUAGUGGUAGAAGAAGCACCGGCUAACUACGUG
Molecule: ribosomal RNA, 494 nt
Filed under: uncultured bacterium
Lineage: Bacteria
Description: partial 16S ribosomal RNA
Rfam family: Bacterial small subunit ribosomal RNA
Source: RNAcentral